RNAcentral lists this ribosomal RNA (339 nucleotides) under Triticum aestivum (bread wheat). RNAcentral describes it as "partial small subunit ribosomal RNA". The record is from RNAcentral. Lineage: Eukaryota; Viridiplantae; Streptophyta; Magnoliopsida; Poales; Poaceae.
AUGGUCACAGUUAAAAUGAUAGCUUGGUUGUGUAUACUACUUCAAGAACUUUUCUCUGACAAAGAGGUUGCUGAGCUCAGCCAUGGGUGGCACUGCCCAGUCUCUAUUUUUUCAGUAGUGAAGCUACCACUAUUUUUGGUUUUUAGUUUGAAAACUCCAAAUUCCCCAGAACGUAUUUUAUUUAUUAUUAUAUUUUUUGUUUGUGCUAAACACUACUCCCUCCAAUCCAAAAUAAGUGUCGUGGUUUUAGUUCAAAUUUGUACUAAAACUACGACACUUAUGUUGGAUCGAAGGGAGUACUUGAUUCAUGUUUCUUGCUUUCUACUGUUUGUAAUAUGA